RNAcentral lists this ribosomal RNA (406 nucleotides) under uncultured bacterium. RNAcentral's name for it is "partial 16S ribosomal RNA". It matches the Rfam family "Bacterial small subunit ribosomal RNA", at positions 30 to 526 of the family's 1533-position model. The record is from RNAcentral.
AUUGAACGCUGGCGGCAGGCCUAACACAUGCAAGUCGAACGAGUGGCGGACGGGUGAGUAAUGUCGGGGACACUGCCAGAUGGAGGGGGAUAACUACUGGAAACGGUAGCCAAUACCGCAUACCAUCGGAUGUGCCCAGAUGGGAUUAGCUAGUAGGUGGGGUAAAGGCUCACCUAGGCGACGAUCCCUAGCUGGUCUGAGAGGAUGACCAGCCACACUGGAACUUAGACACGGUCCAGACUCCUACGGGAGGAAGCAGUGGGGAAUAUUGCACAAUGGGAGCAAGCCUGAUGCAGCCGUGCCGCGUGUAUGAAGAAGGCCAUCGGGUUGUAAAGUACUUUCCGCGAGGAAGCGUUACCCGCAGAAGUAGCACCGGCUAACUCCGUGCCAGCAGCCGCGGUAAUAC